CCUACGGGAGGCAGCAGUGAGGAAUAUUGGUCAAUGGGCGCGAGCCUGAACCAGCCAAGUCGCGUGAGGGAAGACGGUCCUAUGGAUUGUAAACCUCUUUUGUCGGGGAGCAAAAGACGCCACGCGUGGCGUUCCGAGAGUACCCGAAGAAAAAGCAUCGGCUAACUCCGUGCCAGCAGCCGCGGUAAUACGGAGGAUGCGAGCGUUAUCCGGAUUUAUUGGGUUUAAAGGGUGCGCAGGCGGAAGAUCAAGUCAGCGGUAAAAUUGAGAGGCUCAACCUCUGCGAGCCGUUGAAACUGGUUGUCUUGAGUGAGUGAGAGGUAUGCGGAAUGCGUGGUGUAGCGGUGAAAUGCAUAGAUAUCACGCAGAACUCCGAUUGCGAAGGCAGCAUACCGGCGCGCAACUGACGCUGAUGCACGAAAGUGUGGGUAUCGAACAGGAUUAGAUACCCGAGUAGUC
RNAcentral lists this ribosomal RNA (459 nucleotides) under uncultured bacterium. Its description in RNAcentral is "partial 16S ribosomal RNA". It matches the Rfam family "Bacterial small subunit ribosomal RNA", at positions 338 to 795 of the family's 1533-position model. The record is from RNAcentral.